Molecule: ribosomal RNA, 435 nt
Filed under: uncultured bacterium
Lineage: Bacteria
Description: partial 16S ribosomal RNA
Rfam family: Bacterial small subunit ribosomal RNA
Source: RNAcentral
GAUGAACGCUGGCGGUAUGCUUAACACAUGCAAGUCGAACGGACUCUUCGGAGUUAGUGGCGGACGGGUGAGUAACGCGUGAGAAUCUGGCUUUGGGUUCGGGACAACCACUGGAAACGGUGGCUAAUACCGGAUGUGCCGAGAGGUAAAAGAGAAAUUGCCUGAAGAUGAGCUCGCGUCUGAUUAGCUAGUUGGUGAGGUAAAGGCUCACCAAGGCAGCGAUCAGUAGCUGGUCUGAGAGGAUGACCAGCCACACUGGGACUGAGACACGGCCCAGACUGCUACGGGAGGCAGCAGUGGGGAAUUUUCCGCAAUGGGCGAAAGCCUGACGGAGCAAUACCGCGUGAGGGAAGAAGGCUCUUGGGUUGUAAACCUCUUUUCUUAGGGAAGAACAAAAUGACGGUACCUAAGGAAUCAGCAUCGGCUAACUCCGUG